GGAUUGUGGCUCAGUGGUAGAGUGCUCAUCUAGCAUGCAUGAGGCACUGGGUUUGAUCCUCAGCACCA
This 68-nucleotide transfer RNA is filed under the name Marmota monax (woodchuck). Its description in RNAcentral is "tRNA.Ala". The record is from RNAcentral. Lineage: Eukaryota; Metazoa; Chordata; Mammalia; Rodentia; Sciuridae.